This 439-nucleotide ribosomal RNA is filed under the name uncultured bacterium. Its description in RNAcentral is "bacterial SSU rRNA". It matches the Rfam family "Bacterial small subunit ribosomal RNA", at positions 340 to 774 of the family's 1533-position model. The record is from RNAcentral.
UACGGGAGGCAGCAGUGGGGAAUAUUGCACAAUGGGCGCAAGCCUGAUGCAGCCAUGCCGCGUGUAUGAAGAAGGCCUUCGGGUUGUAAAGUACUUUCAGUCGUGAGGAAGGUGUUAAGGUUAAUAACCUUAGCAAUUGACGUUAGCGACAGAAGAAGCACCGGCUAACUCCGUGCCAGCAGCCGCGGUAAUACGGAGGGUGCGAGCGUUAAUCGGAAUUACUGGGCGUAAAGGGCACGCAGGCGGUUAAUUAAGUUGGAUGUGAAAUCCCCGGGCUUAACCUGGGAAUGGCAUUCAAGACUGGUUAGCUAGAGUCUUGUAGAGGGGGUAGAAUUCCAUGUGUAGCGGUGAAAUGCGUAGAGAUGUGGAGGAAUACCGGUGGCGAAGGCGGCCCCUGGACAAGACUGACGCUCAUGUGCGAAAGCGUGGGGAGCAAACG